UCGGCUAACUCCGUGCCAGCAGCCGCGGUAAUACGGGGGAUGCAGCGUUAUCCGGAAUCAUUGGGCGUAAAGCGCCUGUAGGUUGUUUAAUAAGUCUGUUGUUAAAGACUAGGGCUUAACCCUAGGAAAGCAAUGGAAACUACUAGACUAGAGUAUGAUAGGGGUAGAGGGAAUUUCUAGUGUAGCGGUGAAAUGCGUAGAUAUUAGAAAGAACACCGGUGGCGAAGGCGCUCUACUGGAUCAUUACUGACACUCAGAGGCGAAAGCUAGGGUAGCAAAAGGGAUUAGAUACCCCUGUAGUCCUAGCCGUAAACGAUGGAUACUACAUGUUGCGUUUAUUAUGCAGUAUGGUAGCUAACGCGUUAAGUAUCCCGCCUGGGGAGUACGCUCGCAAGGGUGAAACUCAAAGGAAUUGACGGGGGCCCGCACAAGCGGUGGAGCAUGUGGUUUAAUUCGAUGCAACGCGAAGAACCUUACCAAGGCUUGACAUACUACAGAUUCUUUUGAGAGAGAGAAGUGCCUUCGGGAAUGUAGAUACAGGUGGUGCAUGGCUGUCGUCAGCUCGUGUCGUGAGAUGUUGGGUUAAGUCCCGCAACGAGCGCAACCCUCGUUUUUAGUUGCCAUUUUAUGGGUUCUCUAGAAAGACUGCCGGUAACAAACCGGAGGAAGGUGAGGAUGACGUCAAGUCAGCAUGCCCCUUAUGUCCUGGGCCACACACGUGCUACAAUGACAAAGACAAAGAGUUGCAAGUUCGCGAGGAUAAGCUAUCUCAUAACUUUGUCCCWGDUCGGAUUGUAGGCUGCCACUCCNCC
This 812-nucleotide ribosomal RNA is filed under the name uncultured phototrophic eukaryote. RNAcentral describes it as "bacterial SSU rRNA". It matches the Rfam family "Bacterial small subunit ribosomal RNA", at positions 493 to 1316 of the family's 1533-position model. The record is from RNAcentral.